This is a non-coding RNA of Caenorhabditis brenneri, 116 nucleotides long. NCBI's taxonomy places the organism in Eukaryota, Metazoa, Nematoda, Chromadorea, Rhabditida, Rhabditidae. The record is from Rfam.
GGUUCUUGCUACUAUUGCGCCCCAGGCUCGUCUGGAGUUCCGACCUUUCGAAAGAAAGUGUUGAACAACUAUAAUUUUUGGAAACGCUCUGCCGGGGUUAUCCGGUGGGGCAGAAA